Long non-coding RNA from Pleuronectes platessa (European plaice), 3413 nucleotides. RefSeq lists it as uncharacterized. The record is from RefSeq and is a predicted model, not a curated record. The transcript has 2 exons. NCBI's taxonomy places the organism in Eukaryota, Metazoa, Chordata, Actinopteri, Pleuronectiformes, Pleuronectidae.
GGAGUUUGCAGUAAAUUCGAAGGCGGCGAAAAUUUACGUAUUCUGGAGUAUUUUGAAAAGGGCGUGGCAAAAUGGCUCAAGAGCGCCACCUACGGAAAAGCCCCUCAUUUAGCAUUCACCGAUCCUCAAAAAAAACAAAGACUAUUGUGUAUCAUGACUAGAUGCACAAAAAAGUCCAUCAGUGCAUUAUGAAUAACGCAACAGGAAGCCCGCCAGUUUGACUUUAGUGGCCAUUUUGGUCAUAUUCAAUAUUUUUUGUUUUAAGUACUCCUCCUACAGCUUUCAUCAAAUCAACUUACAAUUUAGACGAUCGUCAUCACAACAAAAUGGAGAUCUAAAGUUAUUGAAGGAUUAAGUUUUAGCAAAACCGUCUGACCGUGGUGUGGCCUCAAAGUUUGAUUAAACGCCAUCAAAACACGGGCUCCUGUAUCUUGGACAUAUUUUGUCCAAUCGAGUCCAAACUAUACACAUAAGACAAGAGUCGCGACCUGAAGACAUCGGUACAGAAAUCGUGACUUAAAAUCACAGCGUCCCCUGGUGGCAACAGCAAAUGUCUUGUUUUUCUAUGUGUUACAGUUUGAUUCACUACUCGUAGGGCCUUCAUUAAAUCAACGUAAAAAUUUGAUGCAUGUGUUCAAAACAAGAUGAAGAUCUAAAGUUAACGAAAUUGCAACUUUUCAUAAUACUGUGUGACCGUGGUGUGGCUUCCAGUUUGAGGUAUGAAAACAUCUAUAUCUGGCAGAUGUGCUGCAAUAUUUAGUCACUAGAUGGCAGUGUCAGACCAUAGUUUGUGUUAUCUAUGCAUUAACAGACUGUGUUUACAGGGUGGCCAACUUUAGAGGAGAAUUAAACCUUUUACAGCAUUGCUCAAACUUUGGUUUUAGUCUCAAUCGCUAAGUUCUUCCUUCAUGACAACUCUGAGGGGGGUAAAUUUGUUUUUAACUUCCUUGUUUAAGCGAUAUAGAUGUUUGAAAUUCACGUGACGCCACAGUGUAAGCUGUGCUGUGUGUUGUGAGUUCGGCUUUAACCAGGUACAAGUGAACGCCUCAUGAAAUGGCUUACACCCACAUACCCAGUAAAUUACACACUUUGAUGUUCUGCUCCUUCUCCUGACGGUCACGGUAACGAUGUCUGCGCCUCCGUUUCUGUGGUAAGUCACGUUAAGUAUUUUAUUUCGAUGUGAUUCGCAGGGUGCCUUUGAAUCAGCCGUGAUAGCUAAGGGACGCUAAUCCGAGAGCUACAUACCAGCUCAGUGUAUAUCAACGGGUUCGAUGCGAAUGCCAGCUGUUACCGAAACAACCGCCAUGAACCCAGGUCCACCAAGCAGAGAUAAGCGUUCGUUUAUAAGGAUGAAUCUGAGACAGGAGACUGUGUGUCGGCUUCUUUUUCGCUAGCGCCGGAGGCUAACUAGCUCGCUAACAAGCAAGCUAACAAUAUCUUCGCAUGGGUGCAGUAACUGUUCUUCGACUCGAUUGGGGUUAUUACCGACAAACACCGACAUGAAACGACAUGAGCGGGUCCACCCAGCAGAUAUAAGCGUUACUUUAUGCGGAUGACUCUGAGACAGGAGACUGUGUGUCGGCUUGUAAGUUAGUUUCGCUAGCGGGCUAGCGAUGCUAACUGAAACCUGAGAAACCUGAGUGUUUAAAGUCACAUCUGCAUUGCAAGAGCAGCUGUUCAAAGGAGCAGUACGUGUCCUAAAGCUCUUUCUUCAGAGUAGUGUUGUAACGUGUUACAGUGAAAAGUAACCGUGUCUCCCACCUUCAGUAUUUAAAUCGUUAAUCUCAGACAGACUUCACUGAAUUCUUUUGUUAAAUAUGAGUAAAUCAUAGCCUUGUAACUUUACUAGAACAGACAGUGUCAUACAGAAUUGUAGGCUAAUAUGCACUACCUAUUUCCUAAGCUGAAAUGAUUAUGAUCUGAUUAACUUUGAAUUAAUAUUUUAUUAUUACCAUGUAAAAGUCUGUUAAGCAGAUAACAUGGCACAUGUAUGACUUAACAUAUCUGUGUAUUUGUGUUCAAUGUUCCUCUAGGAUGUCCAGCGUGAGACACAACUUGAAUCCAACCAGACUGAACACUGACUCCAGGGACGGACGAGCCUGAAGGAAACAGCUGUGAUGACCAAUUGACCAUGUUUUGUCUCUUAUGGCAAAGCAGAAAUAUUAAACACUGGGUUCUUAUCUAAAGUGUAUCAAAUCAGAAAGCAAAAGAUACACAUUGUUGUUAUAAGUUUUUAUUAUUUUAACCAACCAUAAUGAAGAUAGAAAUGAAUUCUUAUCCAUGCCACUUAGCAAUGACUGCCACCACCAAACAGUUGCAGGCCAUCUUUAUUUAAGGGAGGAAUUUAGAAAUGUUGUGUAGCUUCUGAUGAUGAUGCAGUCGUCCACGUGUUGACCACCAUGUUGCUGCUGACGACGUCAGGUGCUGCAGUUCCUCAUCUAUGAAGAGAAGAAACGAACUGUUAAAGAAUGUUUUGAGUUGUGUAUGAAGCACAACAGAUUUCAGAUAGAACCGUUGUACUGUGGUCUGGGUUUGUAUCCUAAUGGUUAAAUGCACAUAUUUUAAGUCGCUUUUGAUAAAAGUACUGAAAGAAAUACAACAUUGUAAAAAUAGAUAAAAUGUCUUUCUACCUCAUCUGUAAUAUUCAAGGUGAUAAUCUCCCACAGAGCUAUUGAUAACAGUCCACAUCAAGUCUCUCCACUUCCCUCAGUGUGAAAACAUAAUUAUAUAAUUAAUUUGAGAACUGUUUACAACACUGAUGUGUGGAGAUUAAAAUCAUAUCUAAACUGUCUAAUUCACUGUAAAACUCCAUGACAUUCGCAGGCCAUCUGUAGUUAAGGGAGCAACGUAUGGAGUGAUGUGUAGAGGGCAGAAACUUGGACUAUGGGCAGAGAAGGUCUCUGGUUCGUCUCCGGUUCGACUCCACGGAGAGACAACAAAAGACAAACCUGGAUUGAUCUGUCCAAAAAUCCAAGAGUCUCCCUACCCUCUCUAGUGCCCCUGAGCAAGGCACCUCACUCCCCCAACAUCUACUCCGUGAGCGCCGUACAUGGUCGCUCACUGCUCUGUGUGUCCUGCACCAGAUGGGUAAAAAGCAGAGAUUAAAUUUCCCUACCUGCAUGAGUGUGCCUUUGCAUGUCUGUGCAUUUGUUUGGGACGAAUAAAUGGAUCUUAAUCUUAAUCUUUUAAUCUUAAUCAGUUGUCUUCCAGUUGACCAGCAUGAAGCUGCAAAUCUCCACCAUGUUGCUGCUGAGGACAUCAGGAGCUGCAUUAAUGAGGAGCAGAAGCGCACUGUUAUGAAUGUUUUGUGUUGUGUAUGAAGCACCACAUAUUUCAGAUAGAACCGAUGUACUGGGGUCUGGGUUUGUAUACUAAUGGUUAAAUGCACAUACUUUAAAUCGCUUUUGAUAAAA